RNAcentral lists this ribosomal RNA (253 nucleotides) under uncultured bacterium. RNAcentral describes it as "partial 16S ribosomal RNA". It matches the Rfam family "Bacterial small subunit ribosomal RNA", at positions 524 to 776 of the family's 1533-position model. The record is from RNAcentral.
UACGGGGGGAGCAAGCGUUGUCCGGAAUCAUUGGGCGUAAAGAGCGUGUAGGCGGCCCGAUAAGUCCGCUGUGAAAGUCCAGGGCUCAACCCUGGAAUGCCGGUGGAUACUGUCGGGCUCGAAUCCGGAAGAGGUGAGUGGAAUUCCUGGUGUAGCGGUGAAAUGCGCAGAUAUCAGGAGGAACACCAAUGGCGAAGGCAGCUCACUGGGACGGUAUUGACGCUGAGACGCGAAAGCGUGGGGAGCAAACAGG